AGAGUUUGAUCAUGGCUCAGGACGAACGCUGGCGGCGUGCUUAACACAUGCAAGUCGAACGAUGAACCACUUCGGUGGGGAUUAGUGGCGAACGGGUGAGUAACACGUGGGCAAUCUGCCCUUCACUCUGGGACAAGCCCUGGAAACGGGGUCUAAUACCGGAUAAUACUUCCACUCGCAUGGGUGGGGGUUGAAAGCUCCGGCGGUGAAGGAUGAGCCCGCGGCCUAUCAGCUUGUUGGUGAGGUAGUGGCUCACCAAGGCGACGACGGGUAGCCGGCCUGAGAGGGCGACCGGCCACACUGGGACUGAGACACGGCCCAGACUCCUACGGGAGGCAGCAGUGGGGAAUAUUGCACAAUGGGCGAAAGCCUGAUGCAGCGACGCCGCGUGAGGGAUGACGGCCUUCGGGUUGUAAACCUCUUUCAGCAGGGAAGAAGCGAAAGUGACGGUACCUGCAGAAGGAGCGCCGGCUAACUACGUGCCAGCAGCCGCGGUAAUACGUAGGGCGCAAGCGUUGUCCGGAAUUAUUGGGCGUAAAGAGCUCGUAGGCGGUCUGUCGCGUCGGAUGUGAAAGCCCGGGGCUUAACCCCGGGUCUGCAUUCGAUACGGGCAGACUAGAGUGUGGUAGGGGAGAUCGGAAUUCCUGGUGUAGCGGUGAAAUGCGCAGAUAUCAGGAGGAACACCGGUGGCGAAGGCGGAUCUCUGGGCCAUUACUGACGCUGAGGAGCGAAAGCGUGGGGAGCGAACAGGAUUAGAUACCCUAGUAGUCC
Molecule: ribosomal RNA, 771 nt
Filed under: uncultured bacterium
Lineage: Bacteria
Description: bacterial SSU rRNA
Rfam family: Bacterial small subunit ribosomal RNA
Source: RNAcentral